GACGUAGGGCGCGAGCGUUGUCCGGAUUUAUUGGGCGUAAAGAGCUCGUAGGCGGCUUGUCGCGUCGUUCGUGAAAACUCACAGCUCAACUGUGAGCUUGCGGUCGAUACGGGCAGGCUAGAGUUCGGUAGGGGAGACUGGAAUUCCUGGUGUAGCGGUGAAAUGCGCAGAUAUCAGGAGGAACACCGGUGGCGAAGGCGGGUCUCUGGGCCGAUACUGACGCUGAGGAGCGAAAGCCAGGGGAGCGAACGGG
This 253-nucleotide ribosomal RNA is filed under the name uncultured bacterium. Its description in RNAcentral is "partial 16S ribosomal RNA". It matches the Rfam family "Bacterial small subunit ribosomal RNA", at positions 524 to 776 of the family's 1533-position model. The record is from RNAcentral.